This 73-nucleotide transfer RNA is filed under the name Candidatus Methanolliviera sp. GoM_oil. RNAcentral's name for it is "tRNA-Thr". It matches the Rfam family "tRNA". From Rfam's summary of the family: Transfer RNA (tRNA) molecules are approximately 80 nucleotides in length. Lineage: Archaea; Methanobacteriati; Methanobacteriota; Candidatus Methanoliparia; Candidatus Methanoliparales; Candidatus Methanollivieraceae. The record is from RNAcentral.
GCCUCGGUGGCUCAGGCGGAAGAGCGGCUGACUCGUAAUCAGCAGGUCGGGGGUUCAAAUCCCUCCCGAGGCU